UGUUUCCUGAUAACAAUGAGAGAUGUUUUGAGAAAGAUAGCUUGAAAAGAGAGCAGUGGUGUGUGAUUCAGGUUUUUGACCCGAGCAUUCAUUGAUCAAGGCAAGAGAGAGAAUGGAGAAGCUCCUAAGGACUUCACUAGUGAUCAUGGGGUUUCUACUAACAUGGGUGAGCUGCCAACAGAGAGUGGAACAGAAUCCUCCAUUUUUGCAUGUCCAGGAGAAAGAGAAUAUCACUAUCAACUGCACUUAUUCAGACCAAAACACUCAAGGCGUACAGUGGUACCGACAGUAUCCUGGGAAAGCCCUCACCUUGCUAAUUUACCUGGCUUCAGGGACAAAACAGGAAGGAAGAUUCAAAUUCACAUUCAGCAGAAAAGAUCGUUUUAGCUCUUUGCACAUCAUUGCCUCUCAGCCUGGAGACUCAGCCACCUAUCUGUGUGCUAUGAUAGCACAGUGAUCUCCAAGCACCUGUA
Non-coding RNA from Sarcophilus harrisii (Tasmanian devil), 473 nucleotides. NCBI's taxonomy places the organism in Eukaryota, Metazoa, Chordata, Mammalia, Dasyuromorphia, Dasyuridae. The record is from the annotation of a RefSeq genome assembly.